AAUAGAUACCCGGGUAGUCCACGCCGUAAACGAUGAGUGCUAAGUGUUGGGGGGUUUCCGCCCCUCAGUGCUGCAGCUAACGCAUUAAGCACUCCGCCUGGGGAGUACGGUCGCAAGACUGAAACUCAAAGGAAUUGACGGGGGCCCGCACAAGCGGUGGAGCAUGUGGUUUAAUUCGAAGCAACGCGAAGAACCUUACCAGGUCUUGACAUCCCGGUGACCACUAUGGAGACAUAGUUUCCCCUUCGGGGGCAACGGUGACAGGUGGCGCAUGGUUGUCGUCAGCUCGUGUCGUGAGAUGUUGGGUUAAGUCCCGCAACGAGCGCAACCCUUAUUCUUAGUUGCCAUCAUUUAGUUGGGCACUCUAAGGAGACUGCCGGUGAUAAACCGGAGGAAGGUGGGGAUGACGUCAAAUCAUCAUGCCCCUUAUGACCUGGGCUACACACGUGCUACAAUGGACGGUACAAACGGUUGCCAACCCGCGAGGGGAGCUAAUCCGAUAAAACCGUUCUCAGUUCGGAUUGUAGGCUGCAACUCGCCUACA
This 544-nucleotide ribosomal RNA is filed under the name uncultured bacterium. RNAcentral describes it as "bacterial SSU rRNA". It matches the Rfam family "Bacterial small subunit ribosomal RNA", at positions 777 to 1320 of the family's 1533-position model. The record is from RNAcentral.